AGCAGCCGCGGUAAUUCCAGCUCCAAUAGCGUAUAUUAAAGUUGUUGCAGUUAAAAAGCUCGUAGUUGAAUUUCGGGAUCAAUAUUUCGGUCAUGCCGUUGGUAUGCACUGUUAUCAUUGAUUUCUCACCUUCUAAAGAACCGUAAUGCCAUUAAUUUGGUGUUACGGGGAAUUAGGACUGUUACCUUGAAAAAUUAGAGUGUUUAAAGCAGGCUCACGCUUGAAUACAUUAGCAUGGAAUAAUGAAAUAGGACAUCCGAUUCUAUUUUGUUGGUUUCUAGGAUCGAUGUAAUGAUUAAUAGGGAUAGUUGGGGGCAUUAGUAUUCAAUUGUCAGAGGUGAAAUUCUUGGAUUUAUUGAAGACUAACUACUGCGAAAGCAUUUGCCAAGGAUGUUUUCAUUAAUCAAGAACGAAAGUUAGGGGAUCGAAGACGAUCAGAUACCGUCGUAGUCUUAACCAUAAACUAUGCCGACUAGGGAUCGGAUGAUGUUAAUUUUUAAUGUACUCAUUCGGCGUACCC
This 520-nucleotide ribosomal RNA is filed under the name uncultured Glomus. RNAcentral's name for it is "SSU rRNA". It matches the Rfam family "Eukaryotic small subunit ribosomal RNA", at positions 569 to 1088 of the family's 1831-position model. The record is from RNAcentral. Lineage: Eukaryota; Fungi; Glomeromycota; Glomeromycetes; Glomerales; Glomeraceae.